This is a non-coding RNA of Nicotiana tabacum (common tobacco), 974 nucleotides long. Lineage: Eukaryota; Viridiplantae; Streptophyta; Magnoliopsida; Solanales; Solanaceae. The record is from RefSeq and is a predicted model, not a curated record.
CUUGUGAUUUUGUAAGAAGUUUUUCGGAGUAUUUUGAUGUGCUUCUCCACUAAAGAUCCACAGUUUAGCUUAAACUCCCUGCUCUUAAUUCUGGAGAAUGAAAAAAACCAGUCUGAAGGUAUAGGAAAAAACUGAUCACAUUCCUUUUCCCUUUUAAAGUAGAAUAAUAUAUUGGGUAGAAAAUAUUUGUUUAUGUCUUUAGGUGUUUGAGGAAUGCUUUCAAAGGAGAAGGUAUUGGCAUAUCUGCUAUUUCAUAAUUGAGUAAAUAUUGGAAAAUGAAUCGAAAGAGAAGCACAAGAUUGACUUGGAUAUGGAAAAUUUAUUUAUGGUGAUGAUCUAAUAUGGGCAGUGACAACUUUAGGAGUUUGAAGAUUACAUUGAUCAAGGCCUACUUCACAGGUACAGUAUUGUGUCCUCGCGUUUCUAAUUCAUUACUGCAUCAGCUUAUUACAUCAACUUGUGUUGUAUAGCUUGGAUGACUAAUUCAUAUUGCGUAUAACUUGGAUGACUAAACAUAACGAACGAAACAAGACUUGUACUUAUUUAUUUUGAAUCUGGUGAGUUGCAGAAGACUUGGAAGGAAAAAGAAUGGAUCUAUUUAUAACUGCUAGAACAAAAACAUUUAAAAGUUACAGUUGUUACAGAAUAGAUCUAUUUACAAUUGCUAAAUCUAUUUACAACUUGAAUAUAACACAUAUUUGCAAAUAACUAGUCAGUUUGCUCAACUCAAAUAUUGAACAACAGAUGACUGACUACUCUGAUCUUUUGAUCUUUUGUUUGUUAAAGUCUUAAAGCUGCCUUGGAUUUCCUAAGUCUUCUUUCUUCUGAAAGCAACUUCGCGAACCUGGCAAAGAAUGGUUAUGUAAGCUCAUUUAUUCCAACUAAAUGAAGCGCUUGGAGGAGAGCAGACAAGGGCAAAUUAACCAUAUCGUCACUGGCUUGAGUAAGAACAUCCACAAUUGGAGAAGAACCAC